Molecule: ribosomal RNA, 1084 nt
Filed under: Salmonella enterica subsp. enterica serovar Infantis
Lineage: Bacteria; Pseudomonadati; Pseudomonadota; Gammaproteobacteria; Enterobacterales; Enterobacteriaceae
Description: partial 23S ribosomal RNA
Rfam family: Bacterial large subunit ribosomal RNA
Source: RNAcentral
AGACCCGAAACCCGGUGAUCUAGCCAUGGGCAGGUUGAAGGUUGGGUAACACUAACUGGAGGACCGAACCGACUAAUGUUGAAAAAUUAGCGGAUGACCUGUGGCUGGGGGUGAAAGGCCAAUCAAACCGGGAGAUAGCUGGUUCUCCCCGAAAGCUAUUUAGGUAGCGCCUCGUGAAUUCAUCUCCGGGGGUAGAGCACUGUUUCGGCUAGGGGGCCAUCCCGGCUUACCAACCCGAUGCAAACUGCGAAUACCGGAGAAUGUUAUCACGGGAGACACACGGCGGGUGCUAACGUCCGUCGUGAAGAGGGAAACAACCCAGACCGCCAGCUAAGGUCCCAAAGUCAUGGUUAAGUGGGAAACGAUGUGGGAAGGCCCAGACAGCCAGGAUGUUGGCUUAGAAGCAGCCAUCAUUUAAAGAAAGCGUAAUAGCUCACUGGUCGAGUCGGCCUGCGCGGAAGAUGUAACGGGGCUAAACCAUGCACCGAAGCUGCGGCAGCGACACUCAGGUGUUGUUGGGUAGGGGAGCGUUCUGUAAGCCUGUGAAGGUGUGUCGUGAGGCAUGCUGGAGGUAUCAGAAGUGCGAAUGCUGACAUAAGUAACGAUAAAGCGGGUGAAAAGCCCGCUCGCCGGAAGACCAAGGGUUCCUGUCCAACGUUAAUCGGGGCAGGGUGAGUCGACCCCUAAGGCGAGGCCGAAAGGCGUAGUCGAUGGGAAACGGGUUAAUAUUCCCGUACUUGGUGUUACUGCGAAGGGGGGACGGAGAAGGCUAUGUUGGCCGGGCGACGGUUGUCCCGGUUUAAGCGUGUAGGUGUGUGUUCCAGGUAAAUCCGGUUCACUUUAACACUGAGGCGUGAUGACGAGGCACUACGGUGCUGAAGCAACAAAUGCCCUGCUUCCAGGAAAAGCCUCUAAGCAUCAGGUAACAUCAAAUCGUACCCCAAACCGACACAGGUGGUCAGGUAGAGAAUACCAAGGCGCUUGAGAGAACUCGGGUGAAGGAACUAGGCAAAAUGGUGCCGUAACUUCGGGAGAAGGCACGCUGACAUGUAGGUGAAGUGAUUUACUCAUGGAGCUGAAGUCA